RNAcentral lists this ribosomal RNA (409 nucleotides) under bacterium. Its description in RNAcentral is "partial 16S ribosomal RNA". It matches the Rfam family "Bacterial small subunit ribosomal RNA", at positions 355 to 776 of the family's 1533-position model. The record is from RNAcentral.
UGGGGAAUAUUGCACAAUGGGCGAAAGCCUGAUGCAGCGACGCCGCGUGAGGGAUGACGGCCUUCGGGUUGUAAACCUCUUUCAGUAGGGACGAAGCGCAAGUGACGGUACCUGCAGAAGAAGCACCGGCUAACUACGUGCCAGCAUCCGCGGUAAUACGUAGGGUGCGAGCGUUGUCCGGAAUUACUGGGCGUAAAGAUCUCGUAGGCGGUUUGUCACGUCGUCUGUGAAAUCCUAGGGCUUAACCCUGGACGUGCAGGCGAUACGGGCUGACUUGAGUACUACAGGGGAGACUGGAAUUUCUGGUGUAGCGGUGGAAUGCACAGAUAUCAGGAAGAACACCGAUGGCGAAGGCAGGUCUCUGGGUAGUAACUGACGCUGAGGAGCGAAAGCAUGGGUAGCGAACAGG